UGCUUUAUCUUUAAAAUCUUAACUGUACUGCUUAUGUCGUAGGAGGAGGUGGUAGCAAGGGUUGUAGAAGAACUAUCAGCAUGACAAAAAGAUCUAUGGAGAUACCUCUCAAAAUCCAGCAAACUCUGAUAAGUUCUUCAUGUGUAAUGAUGCAAAGAUGUAAGCAAGCUGCACUGAAUCAUUAUACAGCGUGCUGUGGCUAAAAUGCAUGAAAAAAUCCAAAGUAAAGGAUCAUCAGAGACAAUUUACAUGAGAAAUGAAGAAUCGUAUGAGGAAAGAAAUGAACAAAACUUUGUCUCCUUCAACAGUUGUUGCCACUAAUAAAA
RNAcentral lists this long non-coding RNA (326 nucleotides) under Apteryx owenii (little spotted kiwi). Its description in RNAcentral is "lncRNA (ENSAOWG00000018081.1)". The record is from RNAcentral. Lineage: Eukaryota; Metazoa; Chordata; Aves; Apterygiformes; Apterygidae.